CAUUUCACGAGGUAGUUUUUAAGGGAAUAAUAAUAACAUAUGCAUCUGGAGUAAUCUAAAUGGAUUUUUAAAUGCUUAUACGAGUUCAGUAACCCAAACAAUUAGUACAAUUAAACGGCGUAACAAGAAAAGUUAUGGUGAUUAGUGCACCACAUCGGCAACGCUGUAGCUUUGUUUUCCGUUGAGAGGUAUUUUGUUUAUUUCGUUAAAACGUGAUUCCUUAAUUUUUAGGCGUUUUUAUAGUGCAAGACUUAUUCGAUUUAUGGUGUAUUAAUUUAUGGGAGCGCUUUGAAAUGGGGAAAAGCUGUAUUAUUUGUGGAAUUAUUGAAUUACCUAACUCUAACAUAACCUUUCAUCGGUAUUUGUUUUGAUGUCAUAGACGUGCAUACGGGAAUUUUCGCAUUUUAAUGUGUUUAGAUUUCCUUCUAAGUUCCCACUUUGAAGUAUCACCAUACCUUAUCAUAGAUCAAUAGGGACCUUUCAAACACAUACACCUUUUGAUCAUAAAUAUUUAGUGAUACGUUAUUACGUUUGCACAUGUAAACAAAACAUAAACUUUGUUGCCCAUAAAGAUAAAUAAACCCUACGCCACUGACGAGAUGUUGGUUCAAAACAAACAUUCACGUUGUUAUAGCGUACGCGUACUCUAUCUUUAUAUUCUUUAUCGCUUUCAGUAAAAUUGGCGCAUGCCUACAUUUGUCUGCCAAAAGUUAAGGAAAUGCCUUCAGUAAAAAUAGUAAAUUUAUAACCACCAUACUAAAGUAAUCUCAGUAAAAAUAGUAAUCAAAGUCAAUUUAUGACUGCACCCUAACUAUACAGUACAAUACUGUACGAGUUUCAACCGUCAAAUGUCUAGCUAUGUGUACAAAACGACGCGACGAGGGGUUCUCCUCGCUAAAACGGUAUCUUAUCAAGUUCGUUUGUGUAGUGGUAACUUUAGGCACCUGGAAGUGCUAAAGGAUGAAAAUAACGUUGCUAUCGUUACGAUGAAACGCGCACCAGUGAAUAGCCUGAAUACUGAACUUCUGACUGAGAUUUCAAGCGUUUUAACCGAUUUAGAAGAAACCAAGUGUUCAGGAAUGAUUUUAACAUCGUUUUCCGACAAAGUGUUUUGCAGCGGACUAGAUAUUUACGAAAUAUUUAAAUCGAAACCGUCGGCGAUCGGGACGUCAUUCUCUACACUUUUGGAGGUCUUCAUAAAACUAUACGGAAGCACGUUUCCGACGGUGGCUGCAAUCACUGGUCACGCGCCCGGUAGUGGUUGUUUCCUCAGUAUGUCCUGUGAAUACCGCAUAAUGGUGCAAAACUUUAGAAUUGGUUUAAACGAAACGCUGUUAGGGUUUCGUGCCCCUUUACCAUUUGUAAAAUUGAUGCUAAACACAAUCGAUCAUAGAAACGCAGAGCUGGCCUUAACAUCGGGUAGACUUUUUAGCACAAAUGAAGCAUUACAAGUGGGAUUGAUUGAUGAAAUGGCAAAGGAUAGAGCUGACGCAUUUGAUAAAGCAAAUUACUUCCUGAAUCAGUUGAAAAUGAGACCUCCAAUAGCCAGGCAUUUUACUAAACAGAGUAUGAGAGGAGCCCUUCUGCAGAAUUUGCCGUAUCGAUGUUUGCCCGAUAUUUUAGAGUGUACCAGAAAGAAUAUACGUAUUUGAACACAUAUAUUUCAAGUUUAUGCAACCAGUGUUCAAUUAUGUCCUCCAGCAGCGACACGAAAGAUCCUAGGAACGAGCUCACAUUGAUUCAAAUUCCUCCCAUACUCGACAAAGCAUGAUCGGCGUCACUGAUGAUAUAUAUCAGUACGGAUCUGGUACUUUAUUAACUAUUCGAAGUUCUGUGCUAGUGGAGACCCGUACAGAAAAUCAAAUCCGCGCCAGCUAGCCAUAUUUGAAAUAUUGACGAUAAACCAAUUAUGGUAAUAAUAUUGUAACCGAAGCAAAAUCCACUAAGGUAUCUAAACCAACAAGCUUAAUCAUGAACUUGGUAAAAACAUGGCGGGCAGGGAACAUUCGUUCCUCCCACAACCACACCACACCGCAGCUAUCCAUAGUUUAGACGUGUAGAUAAAGUAUGUGGAUAUUUCAAUUAACCGAGAAAUGUACGUUGAAGAUCACGUCUCGUUACUGUUGCAACCUAAUAUAAGACAAUUAAUCACAGUAUAUAUGGCAAACAUAAAAAAUAAAAAGAAUUCCAAGUAA
Molecule: RNA transcript, 2195 nt
Organism: Photinus pyralis (common eastern firefly)
Lineage: Eukaryota; Metazoa; Arthropoda; Insecta; Coleoptera; Lampyridae
Gene name: enoyl-CoA delta isomerase 1, mitochondrial-like
Exons: 6
Source: RefSeq, a predicted model, not a curated record